RNA transcript from Canis lupus familiaris (dog), 4178 nucleotides. It is a transcript of the gene named mutS homolog 3, with no coding region annotated. Lineage: Eukaryota; Metazoa; Chordata; Mammalia; Carnivora; Canidae. The record is from RefSeq and is a predicted model, not a curated record. The transcript is spliced from 25 exons.
GGGCUCGCGCUCCCGGCUCGGCUCCGGCCUGCCCCGGGCGGGCGCUCUGUGUUCCGCCAUGUCGGGCCGGAAGCGUGGCCGUGCCGCCGCCGCCGCCGCCGUCAGCCCAGCCCCUGCGAGGCAAGCGGUUCUGAGCAGAUUCUUCCGGCCUACGGGAGGCCUGAAACCCGGCUCGUCCGCCACGGCUGCAGCCGACGGGGCCGCCCCCGCCUCUGCCUCUGCAGCGCCCCCAGCGUCCGCUCUCCCGCCUCAGGUUGCAGAAGUUGGCAGCAGUAAAAAGAGACCACUGGAGAGUGAUGGGACUGUUCAAAAGAAAGCGAAGAAAGUCCAAGGAAAGGAAGGAAGAAGUGAUUUAGUAAUAUCUGGGAACUCUGAGCCAAAGAAAUGUCUGAGGACCAAGACUGUUUUAAAGUCUCUGGAAAAAUUGAAACAGUUCUGCUGCACUUCUGCCCUUGCUCAAAAUAGAGUCCAGACAGUGCCUCUUCAGGAGAGAUUUGCAGUUUUGCCAAAAUGUACUGAUUUUGACGAUAUCACUCAUCUACGUGCAAAGAAUGUAAUUUCUUCUGAAGAUUCCAAAUCUCAUAUUAAUCAAAAGGAUAAGACGCUUUCUGAUCUCAGUCCUUUUGGAUCAUCAUGCACGGGUAAUGACGAUUUACAGAAAACGCCAGAUCCUAAACCAUCUAACAAACGGACCAAAAGCAUCUACACACCUUUAGAAUUACAAUACAUAGAAUUGAAGCAGCAGCAGAAAGAUGCAAUUUUGUGUGUGGAAUGUGGAUAUAAAUAUAGAUUUUUUGGGGAAGAUGCAGAGAUUGCAGCCCGGGAGCUCAAUAUUUAUUGCCAUUUAGAUCACAACUUUAUGACAGCAAGCAUACCUACUCACAGACUUUUUGUUCAUGUACGCCGCCUCGUGGCAAAGGGAUAUAAGGUGGGAGUCGUGAAGCAAACUGAAACUGCAGCAUUAAAGGCUGUGGGGGACAACAAAAGUUCACUGUUCUCCCGGAAAUUGACUGCUCUUUAUACGAAAUCUACACUUAUUGGAGAAGAUGUGAAUCCUUUAGUCAAGCUGGAUGAUGCUAUAAAUGUUGAUGAGGUAAUGACUGAUACUUCUACCAGCUUUCUUCUGUGUAUCUGUGAAAAUGAGGAAAAUGUUAAGGACAAAAAAAAGGGGAACAUUUUCAUUGGAAUCGUGGGAGUGCAGCCUGUCACAGGUGAGGUUGUGUUUGAUAGUUUCCAAGACUCUGCUUCCCGUUCGGAGCUAGAAACUCGGAUAUUGUGCCUGCAGCCAGUGGAGAUGCUGCUUCCCUCACGCUUGUCAGAACAGACAGAGACACUUGUCCACAGAGCCACAGCUGCUAGUGUGCGGGAUGACAGAAUUCGAGUAGAAAGGAUGGAUAACGUUUAUUUUGAAUACAGCCAUGCUUUCCAGGCAGUUACAGAGUUUUAUGCAAAAGAUGCAGUUGACAUCCAAGCUUCACAAAGUUUUUCUGGCAUCAUUAACUUGGAGAAACCUGUGAUUUGCUCUUUGGCUGCUGUAAUAAGAUACCUCAAAGAAUUUAACUUGGAAAAGGUGCUUUCCAAACCCAAGAAUUUUAAGCAAUUUUCUGGUGAAAUGGAAUUUAUGACAAUUAAUGGAACAACAUUAAGGAAUCUUGAAAUCCUACAGAAUCAGACUGACAUGAAAACCAAAGGAAGUUUACUUUGGGUUUUAGACCAUACUAAAACUUCAUUUGGGAGACGGAAGUUAAAGAAGUGGGUGGUCCAGCCACUCCUUAAACUAAGGGAAAUAAAUGCUCGACUAGAUGCUGUCUCUGAAGUACUCCAUUCAGAAUCCAGUGUGUUUGGUCAGAUAGAAAAUCAUCUACGUAAAUUGCCCGAUAUAGAGAGAGGACUCUGUAGCAUUUAUCACAAAAAAUGUUCUACUCAAGAGUUCUUCUUGAUUGUCAAAACACUGUAUCACCUGAAGUCAGAAUUUCAAGCACUAAUACCUGCUGUUAAUUCCCACGUUCAGUCAGACUUGCUCCGGACAUUUAUUUUAGAAAUUCCUGAACUCCUCAGUCCAGUGGAGCAUUACUUGAGGAUACUUAAUGAACAAGCUGCCAAAAUUGGGGAUAAAACUGAAUUAUUCAAAGACCUUACUGACUUCCCUUUAAUAAAAAAGAGGAAAGAUGAAAUUCAAGAAGUUACUGACAAAAUCCAAAUGCAUUUACAAGAAAUACGAAAAAUACUAAAAAAUCCUUCUCUACAGUAUGUGACAGUGUCAGGACAGGAGUUUAUGAUUGAAAUAAAGAAUUCUGCUGUAUCUUGUAUACCAACUGAUUGGGUUAAGGUUGGAAGCACAAAAGCUGUGAGCCGUUUUCACUCUCCUUUUAUUGUAGAAAAUUACAGACAUCUGAAUCAGCUCCGGGAGCAGCUAGUCCUUGACUGCAGUGCUGAAUGGCUUGAUUUUCUAGAGAAUUUCAGUGCACAUUACCACUCCUUGUGUAAAGCAGUACAUCACCUAGCAACUGUUGACUGCAUUUUCUCCCUGGCCAAGGUCGCUAAGCAAGGAGAUUACUGCAGACCAUCUCUACAAGAAGAAAGAAAAAUUGUGAUUAAAAAUGGCCGGCACCCUGUGAUUGAUGUGUUGCUGGGAGAACAGGAUCAGUAUGUUCCUAACAGUACGAAUUUAUCAGGGGACUCAGAGAGAGUAAUGAUAAUUACUGGACCAAACAUGGGUGGAAAGAGCUCCUACAUAAAACAAGUUGCAUUGAUUACUAUCAUGGCUCAGAUUGGCUCCUAUGUUCCUGCGGAGGAAGCAACAAUUGGAAUUGUGGAUGGCAUUUUCACAAGGAUGGGUGCUGCAGAUAACAUAUAUAAAGGACAGAGUACCUUUAUGGAAGAACUAAUGGACACGGCAGAAAUAAUAAGACAAGCAACAUCCCAGUCCUUAGUUAUCCUGGAUGAAUUGGGAAGAGGGACAAGCACCCAUGAUGGAAUUGCCAUUGCUUAUGCUACACUCGAGCAUUUUAUUAGAGAUGUGAAAUCUUUAACCCUCUUUGUCACCCAUUAUCCACCAGUUUGUGAAUUAGAAAAAAGUUACUUACAAGAGGUGGGAAAUUAUCACAUGGGAUUCUUGGUCAAUGAGGAUGAAAACAAAGAGGAUCCAGCUACAUCUGUGUUUCUUCCAUUACCUCUAAAUCCUCUGCUGUCUGAAUUAGAGGCCACUGCAUAGGUCAUCAGGCAAGCACCCCAAAGACCUUUUGGAUGGCUUUUAAGAUACUAUGCUGUUUCCCAUGGAGGUGAAGAACCAGUCCCUGAUUUUGUCACUUUUCUUUAUCAAAUAACCAGAGGAAUUGCAGCAAGGAGUUAUGGACUAAAUGUGGCUAAACUAGCAGAUGUUCCUGGAGAAAUUUUAAAGAAAGCAGCUAGCAAGUCAAAAGAGUUAGAAGGAUUAGUAAAUAUGAAAAGGAAAAGGCUAAAGUGUUUUACAAAGUUAUGGAUGAUAAGUGAUGGAAAAGACCUGCAAAAAUGGACAGACGAGUUUGAAAUGGAAGAAAUUUCAGACUUCUCUUCUUGAUUAAAAUGAAGACUACAUUUUUUAACAAAACAUGGAGAAUUAAAAAUACCACCUGUACAAAACAACUCUCCGUAACAGCCUAUCUUUGUGUGAUGUGAGCAUAAAAUCAGAACUAUGGUAUAUUCCUAUUGGAAACAAGCCCUUUGUGUAGAAAGACUAUUCAGGUUCUUGUCAUCCUGACUUUAUAAGAGUAUCAACAGUUUUGAAUAUUAAGACCUCUGUUCUCUAAGUAGAAGACUUCAUGAAUAGUAAGCUUACAUAAAAUCUGGCCUCCUAAAUGAAGCCCAACAUGAACUUUUAGAGAGUGAUAGAAAAAUCUGAUUCAUAUUUACUUGUUCCAGUUCAGAUUAAUUUGCACCUGGGUGAGAGGUCUAGCAGAAAUAUACCUUUUCAUUUGAACUAAAGUAAUUUUAUAAUGCCACCAGUUUAUUCACUAUAAGCAUAAGAAAUUUUGAUAAGAAAUAGAAAAGAUUAUCAGGCUUUUAAAAGUAGAGCAUGGAAGGAAUAAGAGCAUAUGAAAUUUGAAAAAAAUACUGUCACAGUUUUAAGCAGUUUAAAAAUUAUUGGAUGAAAUUAUUUGUGAUUCAGGUAAUAAACAUUAAUGAAUACUUGCUAUAAA